This 358-nucleotide unclassified non-coding RNA is filed under the name soil metagenome. RNAcentral describes it as "partial contains 5.8S ribosomal RNA, internal transcribed spacer 2, and large subunit ribosomal RNA". The stretch from base 1 to 120 matches the Rfam family "5.8S ribosomal RNA", at positions 35 to 154 of the family's 154-position model. The record is from RNAcentral.
GAUGAAGAACGUAGCGAAAUGCGAUAAGUAAUGUGAAUUGCAGAAUUCAGUGAAUCAUCGAAUCUUUGAACGCACAUUGCGCCCGUCAGUAUUCUGGCGGGCAUGCCUGUUCGAGCGUCAUUACGCCCCUCAAGUCCCCUGUGGACUUGGUGUUGGGGAUCGGCGAGGCUGGUUUUCCAGCACUGCCGUCCCUUAAAUUAAUUGGCGGUCUCGCCGUGGCCCUCCUCUGCGCAGUAGUAAAACACUCGCAACAGGAGCCCGGCGCGGUCCACUGCCGUAAAACCCCCCAACUUUUUAUAGUUGACCUCGAAUCAGGUAGGACUACCCGCUGAACUUAAGCAUAUCAAUAAGCGGAGGA